Oreochromis aureus is the source of this 1266-nucleotide long non-coding RNA. The record is from Ensembl. NCBI's taxonomy places the organism in Eukaryota, Metazoa, Chordata, Actinopteri, Cichliformes, Cichlidae.
CACAGAACAUCCAGAAACAACAGAGGUAAGAUCACUUCUAAUGUUGGGAUAACAAGAUGAUGACAUUAUUGCUGAAAGAAACAAACUGUCUCAGUGAGAAUGGAGAACCUGAUUUUAUUUAUCAUCCUAAUAUUUUAAUCUAAUCUAAAUCAAUGAGAGCAGGAAGAUUUACUGAAGAGAAAGCAUGUCUUUGUGAAGAUCAGAAGCAAAUGUGUUAAAUCUGCCAUUAAAAUCUCAAAGUUUUUAUCUUUCUGAUGAACAAAAAGAAUGCAUUAACAUUUUUUCUGUUUUAAUCUAGAGUCUUCACAGACAGCUUACUGUGUAGAGCUCAGACAUCAUCAUAAUCUUCUGAAUGUUGUUGAUUGCAGCAGACAGUAAAACAAAUGCAGCUCAGCAGCCUUCAGACUGAAACGAGAUGCUGCAGAGGAAAACGUCUUUUCUGAAAAUGCACUGGGCUUCACAUUCACGUCUUUGUCCACAGCGAACACGGAGCAGAGAAUUUCCACCCAGUUUUUCUUUGUCACAGAAUAACAAAGGAAUAUUAUCUUCAGAAGAGCUCUGAUCACUUCAGGAUGUUUGCUGUCCACCAACUGAAACCUAAGAAAGAGAAUCCUGGGACUCUAACAACAACAACAUCCAUCCAUUCUCUUCCACUUAUCCCUGUCAGGGUUGCUGGAGCCUAUCAGGGUACACUGUGGACAGCUCGCCAGCCUGACGCAGGGCUAACACAUACAGAAAAUCAUUCACACUCACAGUCAGCUCUAUGGGCAUUUUAGAUUCUCCAAUUAACCUAGCCCCACUAAUUGCAUGUCUUUAAACUGUGGAACGAAGCUGGACAAAGAAACCAUUAUGGCUGAGAAGACAAACAAAGAAACAGGAGGGCAACUGGAAGUACAAAGAACUUAGCAAAAACCUGAACUGGGAAAAGCUAAGAAAAGCACAUCACAAGAGGCUGGAAAACAGAGACACAGGGAAACAGGCAGAAGGACCGCAGGGGCAACGUGGAGGAUGAUCACACAGACGGACUGACAAGGAACAGAGGAAAGCACAGACUGUUGCUGUGUCCAAAUUCAGGGAAGGAUCCUUCAAGGAUUCUACCUACCUGUGUCACUUAGGAGGGUAUUUCAAUGGCAGUGUAGGCCAGAAGUGAGCGGAUGUGAAAUUAGACAGCCUUCUAAUUUUCUUUAAUCUACACGCAUUUAGGAAUGAUUGCCGGUCAUUCGUUCACAUUUACUGUAUUAUAUAAAAUAUGUAAACUAAAUCUCU